RNAcentral lists this ribosomal RNA (813 nucleotides) under uncultured bacterium. RNAcentral's name for it is "bacterial SSU rRNA". It matches the Rfam family "Bacterial small subunit ribosomal RNA", at positions 91 to 919 of the family's 1533-position model. The record is from RNAcentral.
CUUAGUGGCGGACGGGCGAGUAACGCGUGAGUAACCUGCCUUUCAGUGGGGAAUAACGACUGGAAACGGUCGCUAAUACCGCAUAAUGUAGCGAGGUCGCCUGGCCAUGCUACCAAAGGAGCAAUUCGCUGAAAGAUGGACUCGCGUCCGAUUAGCUAGUUGGUGAGGUAAUGGCUCACCAAGGCGACGAUCGGUAGCCGAACUGAGAGGUUGAUCGGCCGCAUUGGGACUGAGACACGGCCCAGACUCCUACGGGAGGCAGCAGUGGGGGAUAUUGCACAAUGGGGGAAACCCUGAUGCAGCAAUGCCGCGUGAGGGAAGAAGGUCUUCGGAUUGUAAACCUAAGUAGUCAGAGACGAAUAAAUGACGGUACCUGAAAAGUAAGCUCCGGCUAACUACGUGCCAGCAGCCGCGGUAAUACGUAGGGAGCGAGCGUUGUCCGGAUUUACUGGGCGUAAAGGGUGCGUAGGCGGGUCUUCAAGUCAGGCGUGAAAUACCAGGGCUCAACUCUGGGGCUGCGCUUGAAACUGUAGAUCUUGAGUGAAGUAGAGGUAGGCGGAAUUCCUAGUGUAGCGGUGAAAUGCGUAGAUAUUAGGAGGAACACCAAUGGCGAAGGCGGCCUACUGGGCUUUAACUGACGCUGAGGCACGAAAGCAUGGGGAGCAAACAGGAUUAGAUACCCUGGUAGUCCAUGCCGUAAACGAUGAUUGCUAGGUGUGGGGGGACUGACCCCUUCCGUGCCGGAGUAAACACAAUAAGCAAUCCACCUGGGGAGUACGACCGCAAGGUGAAACUCAAAGGAUCUUGCUGAAA